UAGCGUGAAGGAUGACUGCCCUAUGGGUUGUAAACUUUCUUUUAUAAAGGAAUAAAGUCGGGUAUGGAUACCCGUUUGCAUGUACUUUAUGAAUAAGGAUCGGCUAACUCCGUGCCAGCAGCCGCGGUAAUACGGAGGAUCCGAGCGUUAUCCGGAUUUAUUGGGUUUAAAGGGAGCGUAGAUGGAUGUUUAAGUCAGUUGUGAAAGUUUGCGGCUCAACCGUAAAAUUGCAGUUGAUACUGGAUAUCUUGAGUGCAGUUGAGGCAGGCGGAAUUCGUGGUGUAGCGGUGAAAUGCUUAGAUAUCACGAAGAACUCCGAUUGCGAAGGCAGCCUGCUAAGCUGCAACUGACAUUGAGGCUCGAAAGUGUGGGUAUCAAACAGGAUUAGAUACCCCCGGUAGUCCACACGGUAAACGAUGAAUACUCGCUGUUUGCGAUAUACUGCAAGCGGCCAAGCGAAAGCGUUAAGUAUUCCACCUGGGGAGUA
RNAcentral lists this ribosomal RNA (487 nucleotides) under uncultured bacterium. RNAcentral's name for it is "bacterial SSU rRNA". It matches the Rfam family "Bacterial small subunit ribosomal RNA", at positions 397 to 882 of the family's 1533-position model. The record is from RNAcentral.